GUUUUAAUAUAACAUUUAGGAUUUUUCAUAGAUGUUUUUUGCGAAAUCUGCUGAGUUAAUGACUCUUAAGUCAAUGAUAGUGCUACUGUAAUUUCCCUUAUAUGGUCAAUCAUGUGGACAGAAUACAGAUCUCCUUAUAAGGGUUCAUCCAUUGUAUUUCAUCACAACUGAGUUGACCCGAUACAUCAUCAGCCUUUGUUAGACUUGGUCACAAGUUUCCAGGGGAGGGGCGUGGAAAGUCAAGUGGUGCCACUACAGUUCACAACCUCUGAAAGGCCCAUCAAGGUGGGUGGUGCUCCAGUUGCUAAGAGCUCAAAGGGGAAGCACAGUAACAGACAUGGCAAAAUUCAGACCAAUCAGGAGCAUGACCCGUUGCCACCGCAGAAAGCCACAAAAGAGACGUCAUGGAGGUGGAUCUGGAGGAAAAAGGAGACAGUCUGGGAAAACAAAGAGAGGUCACAGAUCCCAUGGUCUCAAGAGGCAGAGGCAGAGGAGACACGACUAAAUUUUCCUCUUCAUGGUCUUCUCUGUUCUUGAUCUGAAAAGCUGACCUUUCUAAAACUUCCACCAAACAUGAAAUUGAAGCAAAUUUCCCAUCAAGAGACCCAGGAUGUCUUCCUGGGAACCAAGGAACAGAAAAACAUUUGACCAAGGCCACCUGUCAAUAAAUGCUAGCAUUUAA
Long non-coding RNA from Lacerta agilis (Sand lizard), 682 nucleotides. RefSeq lists it as uncharacterized. The record is from RefSeq and is a predicted model, not a curated record. NCBI's taxonomy places the organism in Eukaryota, Metazoa, Chordata, Lepidosauria, Squamata, Lacertidae. The transcript is spliced from 2 exons.